GAGCGUUUGAUCCUGGCUCAGGACGAACGCUGGCGGCGUGCUUAACACAUGCAAGUCGAGCGAUGAAAUCCCUUCGGGGAUGGAUUAGCGGCGGACGGGUGAGUAACACGUGGGCAACCUGCCUCAAAGUGGGGGAUAGCCUUCCGAAAGGGAGAUUAAUACCGCAUAACAUUAGUUUUUCACAUGAAUUACUAAUUAAAGGAGUAAUCCGCUUUGAGAUGGGCCCGCGGCGCAUUAGCUAGUUGGUGAGGUAACGGCUCACCAAGGCCACGAUGCGUAGCCGACCUGAGAGGGUGAUCGGCCACAUUGGAACUGAGACACGGUCCAGACUCCUACGGGAGGCAGCAGUGGGGAAUAUUGCACAAUGGGCGAAAGCCUGAUGCAGCAACGCCGCGUGAGUGAUGAAGGCCUUCGGGUUGUAAAGCUCUGUCUUUGGGGACGAUAAUGACGGUACCCAAGGAGGAAGCCACGGCUAACUACGUGCCAGCAGCCGCGGUAAUACGUAGGUGGCGAGCGUUGUCCGGAUUUACUGGGCGUAAAGGAUGCGUAGGCGGAUGUUUAAGUCAGAUGU
Molecule: ribosomal RNA, 571 nt
Filed under: Clostridium carboxidivorans
Lineage: Bacteria; Bacillati; Bacillota; Clostridia; Eubacteriales; Clostridiaceae
Description: bacterial SSU rRNA
Rfam family: Bacterial small subunit ribosomal RNA
Source: RNAcentral